CAAGAAACCAUCGACCAACUCUCUCUCUUUUAUCCAUAUUGUUUAACCACUGCAAUUCACAGUGCAUCCUACAUGCCCAAUGCUAGUAUCCUAAGGCAGGCCAGUUAAUUUAGACAAACUUAUACAGGAAGGCAGAAAAGAACCAAACUGCACACAAAAACCAAAAUAGAAUAAGAAACAAAGGGCCAAAUAAGCAUAGGGCUAUCAUCUUACCCCUUCAGA
Molecule: long non-coding RNA, 222 nt
Filed under: Elaeis guineensis (African oil palm)
Lineage: Eukaryota; Viridiplantae; Streptophyta; Magnoliopsida; Arecales; Arecaceae
Description: long non-coding RNA (EGUI_LNC034391)
Source: RNAcentral